Molecule: long non-coding RNA, 1057 nt
Filed under: Sus scrofa (pig)
Lineage: Eukaryota; Metazoa; Chordata; Mammalia; Artiodactyla; Suidae
Description: lncRNA (ENSSSCG00050019859.1)
Source: RNAcentral
GGGAUGGCUCCUGCGGUGGGCUCUGCAGGAGUUUAAUUUGGUUUUUCACGAUGCUGCCGAGGAAGCAGUGGAAAAGAGCUGCUUGAAAGUGUGAAUGGAUACCCACGGGAAAUCAUACAUGAUGACCACGCUGACUCAAGCCUCUCGGUUGCAAAGUGGAAGCCGUCUGCAGAAAGAAAGGAAAUAGCAAUUACAGAGCAGGAUUUCAGCUGGAGUCUUUCCUUGAACCUCUGAGGGUCUAAGAAGGAGGCGGAGAUGCUUGAUAAGCUCUGUCUGAGAUUCUCGCCUUGUGAUGUCUCCCACGAAAGCCCUCAGAGAAUCUUCACGGAGAAAAUUGCUGUCGCCGUUUCGGUAAUAGGUUUAUGUGAAGGGUAGCAGCUAGAGAACGCAAAUUCCCUGUGGGGACUCAGUGUCAGAUACCAUUAGUUAGUAACCCAGUAUCUGUCCGCUCUUCUCCCUGGCUCACAAAAGCUUGGUUUUUCUUCAGGAUGGCAAUACGUUAACCCCUGGGGCAACGUCUCAUGCUCAGACAACCUCCUGGACCCAACCUUCCUUCCACUUAGGGGAUGGGGCUGGCCCUGAGUCCCAGCCCUGGCCAAGGAGGCUUAAGCAGAAGCCGGCAAGGGUGUGUCUGGGAAAGCUUUUGCUUUCUGAUGAAAGGAGAGAGAACAUCACUUCCUCGGCCUCCUCUGCUUCUUCCCACCCAAAUGCAGUAUGAUCUACAGACCCUCCAUCCCAUGAGCAGCCAUCUCCAGCCCAUGAGGACACAAGCACCACAGACUAACUCUGCAUUAAAAGAAACAGAGAUGAAGACAGAGGAGCCUGGGUUUCUUGGAGCUUCUCAACCGAUGCUAUCAAUUAUCCAUUUCUGGAUUUGCUGUUCUAGGAGUAAAAUUGGCCCCUCUCUGCUUAAGCUUUUUGCUGAGUUUUCUGUAACCUGCCAUCAAGUGUUCUUCUCCAGCUAAGGUGAAAGAAGGGAAUGGAAGGAGUCUGACAGCCACGCAGCAUAAGAACACACAGGAGAGAGGCCAGGAGGAGGCUGAUCCUUUCAGUGGGA